AUUGAACGCUGGCGGCAUGCCUUACACAUGCAAGUCGAACGGUAACAGGUCUUCGGAUGCUGACGAGUGGCGAACGGGUGAGUAAUACAUCGGAACGUGCCCGAUCGUGGGGGAUAACGAAGCGAAAGCUUUGCUAAUACCGCAUACGAUCUACGGAUGAAAGCAGGGGACCGCAAGGCCUUGCGCGCACGGGGCGGCCGAUGGCAGAUUAGGUAGUUGGUGGGAUAAAAGCUUACCAAGCCGACGAUCUGUAGCUGGUCUGAGAGGACGACCAGCCACACUGGGACUGAAACACGGCCCAGACUCCUACGGGAGGCAGCAGUGGGGAAUUUUGGACAAUGGGCGAAAGCCUGAUCCAGCCAUGCCGCGUGCAGGAUGAAGGCCUUCGGGUUGUAAACUGCUUUUGUACGGAACGAAAAGACUCUGGUUAAUACCUGGGGUCCAUGACGGUACCGUAAGAAUAAGCACCGGCUAACUACGUG
RNAcentral lists this ribosomal RNA (482 nucleotides) under uncultured bacterium. RNAcentral describes it as "partial 16S ribosomal RNA". It matches the Rfam family "Bacterial small subunit ribosomal RNA", at positions 30 to 507 of the family's 1533-position model. The record is from RNAcentral.